Rattus norvegicus (Norway rat) is the source of this 2650-nucleotide long non-coding RNA. RefSeq lists it as uncharacterized. Lineage: Eukaryota; Metazoa; Chordata; Mammalia; Rodentia; Muridae. The record is from RefSeq and is a predicted model, not a curated record.
AUAGAACACUUUUUAGUCAGAUCUGAAUAGAAAUUUUUAGAACAGAACCGAGAAUAAUUUUUUAGUCAGGACACAAGAGAACUUUUUAGACAGAACAGAACUCAAGAAGAACUUAGAAAUAAAGGCAUAGCACUGGGAGAAAAAGCCAUAGGGAGUAAACAUUAUUGUAGCAUCAGAGGAGGAGAGAGCAAGAUGGGGAGAAUGCAGGCAGCUUCUCCUCACCAUGGGACAGAACAGGUCUUUUUUUUUUUUAAUAGCAAGGCAGGCUUAGUUUUACUAAAGAGAAUAAGCUUUCUUCUUACAGACUUGGGUUUAAUUCAUUUAGCAAUAAAAGGGUAGAAUAUUUUUCUUUCUCUAUGAAAUAAAGAUUGGAGCUCUGUGUGUGUGCCCGCACGUGUGUGUGUAAUUGUGAGAAUGCAUGCAAGCUGGACCCAACUGGUAUGAAUAGAAAUGUGUAAAUGUCCAUGGGCGUAUAUGAAUUCAUGUGAGUUUAUGCAUAUUUGUUUAUGGUAAAGGGUUUUCCUUCCGUGAGCAUGAUUCUCUUCUCCUGGUUCAACAGAAGUUUAUUGCUCCCAACUUCCAGCUAGCGUGACAAGGGAGAGGCAUCUGGACAAAGGGGAAAAGGCUCCAGCAAUUAAUCCUUUACUUAACCCCUUACUGUUGGGCUGCAGGUGGUUAAUCACCCAAGCCAGGGGCUUUUAACCCUCAGAAUGAGCAGGAAAGUUUUUGGGACUUUUUAGAAGUUUUCAUCAGCAUUCAGUACUGUUAGAGAGGCAGAACAUCUGAAGAACCUCCGUCUUUAAAGCCACACCAGGGUCCUACUCUUGUGUUUUGGUUCAACCUGCUCCAGGCUGGGAGGCUCCAGCAAUAACCUGCUUUCCCAAGAAUUACAGCACUUGGGAAACAGAGGCAGUAAUUCAAGUCUAGCUCCUAUAACAGGGAAUUCAAAGCUAGCCUAGGCUAUCUAAGACUCCAUCCCUCUGUCUCAAAAACAAACAGAAAAAACUCAUAGCAAAUUACAAAAAUAUUUAUUGAUUGGUUUACCUACAGCUUGUGUACCGUUCUGAUCGGGAGCACACAGUGGGGAUGAGUGGGAUUUUAGAUCACUGACGUUUCCCAAGACAUAUGCACAGACUGCAUUUCUCACUGUAGCUGUGGUCUGAAUGACACACAAGAGUUGAUUCUAUAAAGAUUGGCGCUAUGGUAGGCUGGUCCCCCUGAGCUCAUCUAGAUACAGCUCAGCUCCUGGUAUGAGGACUGCAAGGCCAUCUUUUAGCUUUCUUUACCUUCCUGGCAUUUUACUAAUUGAAAGUGGCUGCAGGACAGGAGGGCUGCUCAUGUAAGCAGCUCUGUGAGGCACUUGGCUCCCUUAUUUCUCUUCACCCCCUCUCUGCUGGCUCCCAUCUCCCUGGGUCUGCAGCUCCCCUUGGCUCUGUCAUCUCUCUCUCUCUCUCUCUCUCUCUCUCUCUCUCUCUCUCUCUCUCAUUCUCUCUGGGGAUCUCUGAGUGUGUGUGUGUGUGUGGGGGGGCUCUUCCCUUUGCUGCUGACUCUUCCUCACCCAUAUGAGUUUUAGGCACAGGCUCAUUUGUCUUUGGUUAGAAGGGUCCCAGACUAGUUCCUGGGGUCCUACAGAUCUGUUUCCUGAGAGAACAAUUUAAAAAGGUUUACUUUGGCCCACCAUGGUAGGGACAGCGUUGUGGAGCAGAGCAGCUCAUAUCAUGGCAGAAAAGAAACAGAAAAGGACAGUUCAGCAUCAGAGACUGGGCAUCGCAGGAACCUGGCCCUAUGGACCUACAUCCUCCAGGUUAACUUUCACAACAAGAAGCUAGCAAAAUGGUGCCUUGGUUCUCCACUCCAGACUCACCUCCUCUGUGCUACACGUCAAAGGCAGACACUCAUCCCAAGGAUUCGCAGCAGCACCUCCAACGACAACUGCUUGGUUUGCUCAACAAAGACUGUGGUUUUCUUUAACUUCCCUUUAGCUACGCGUCAAAAACAAAUGGUGUUUUGGGUUUUUAACUUCCCGAAUUCUGAUGCUCAUAGAUGGAGAUGUCCACCGGAUGGUGGCCCCACCCUAUCCACAGCUGGGCUGCCCUUCUGUGCUAGGUCACAUGCACACUAGGAUGCGAUGGGCAGGGCCAGCACUGCCCUGCCUCUCCAUUAUGUUAGUCCUGAGGACUAUCCUCCCCCACUGCUGCUGCUGGACGGGCCCUUAGGAAGAGCAACCCUUUUCCUUCUGAGCUGAUCUCCUCUCACCUCCCGGUUAACAAGGGGCCCUGCUAUUUACAUCUUGCCAGGGUCCUUUGUGCUUGGCUUAGUAGGAGACAGGUCCUUGGUAAAAGGCAGGCACCCUGCCAACUCUUCCAACAUCGUUAGGGUUGGGCCGUCCAGACAAGCCGUAGGUAACUGGGCUGACUAAAAUGACAUCAGAAAUGAAUGGGAAAGAGUACAAAUUCACCUCUUGUCCCUUUCAGUUUCAGCAUGGGUAAGCCAUUUGUGUACUGUCUCCAGAGAGGUCGAUUUCUAACUUUAGGAAGGGAACAAGAAUCUAGUUUGACUCCUCCCCUUUGGUUUACAAACAAAUAAACAAAUCAGAAGUAAAUUUAACAUUUCAUUAUUUGCCAAUUAAAGUCUUAUUUAUGGUCCAAGA